This is a non-coding RNA of Rattus norvegicus (Norway rat), 458 nucleotides long. The record is from the annotation of a RefSeq genome assembly. Lineage: Eukaryota; Metazoa; Chordata; Mammalia; Rodentia; Muridae.
AUGGAGAGGAACCUGGGAGCUGUGCUGGGGAUUCUGUGGGUGCAGAUUUGCUGGGUGAGAGGAGAUGGGGUUGAGCAGAGUCCUUCAGCCUUGAGUCUUCAUGAGGGAACCAGUUCUGUUCUGAGAUGCAAUUUUUCUAUCACCACUACAACUGUGCAGUGGUUCCGACAGAAUCCUAGGGGCAGCCUCAUCAAUCUGUUUUACCUGGUUCCAGGAACAAAGGAGAAUGGGAGGUUAAACUCAACAUUCAGUUCUAAGGAGCGCUAUAGCACCCUGCACAUCAGCAAUGCCCAGCUGGAGGACUCAGGCACCUACCUCUGUGCAGGGCAGGCACAGUGCUCCCAGUGAGCCUGCAGCCUUGCCACAAACUGCAGCUGUGUGUGAGACUGCAACCCCUGCCACAGGAAGACUCUGCAGGAGGCUUUGCACAGCUGUGGCUUCAUCAGAUCCCCACCAAU